AUACGGAGGGUGCAAGCGUUAAUCGGAAUUACUGGGCGUAAAGCGUACGUAGGCGGUUCGUUAAGUUAGAUGUGAAAGCCCCGGGCUUAACCUGGGAACUGCAUUUAAAACUGGCGAACUAGAGUUGAGUAGAGGGGAGUGGAAUUUCAGGUGUGGCGGUGAAAUGCGUAGAGAUCUGAAGGAACACUAGUGGCGAAGGCGACUCCCUGGACUCGAACUGACGCUGAGGUACGAAAGCGUGGGUAGCAAACGGGAUUAGAAACCCUAGUAGUCC
Molecule: ribosomal RNA, 274 nt
Filed under: uncultured bacterium
Lineage: Bacteria
Description: partial 16S ribosomal RNA
Rfam family: Bacterial small subunit ribosomal RNA
Source: RNAcentral